GAAGGAACAAUGUAGGCAAGGGAAGUUAGUAUAAUGGAUCCGUAACCUUGGGACAAAAGGAUGGGCUCUAAGUGCUACGCAUGGGGUCUUGAUCCCGAACCCAUCAGUUGUUGGCAAGCUGCUUGAGCUACUUUCGUGGCGAGGGCGGGUCGCCACGUGUUGGCUGGGGAAUGGCUCCCUUGGGGGCCUUCCCCAGGCGUUGAACAGUAGACUCAAAACUAGUAUAGACAGGGGGAAUCCAAAUGUUUAAUUAAAACAAAGCAUUGUGAUGGUCCCUACAUAUACUAACACAAUGUGAUUCCUACCCAAUGCUCUAAAUGUCAAAGUGAAGAAACUCAACCAAGCGCAGGCAAAUGAUGGAGUAACUAUGACUUUCUUAAGGUAUCCAAAUGCUUGGUCAUCUAAUUAGUUGUGUUCAUGAAUGGAUUAAUGAGAUUCCCAUUGUUUCUGUCUACUAUCUAGUGAAACCACAACCAAGGAAAUGGGCUUGGCGGAAUUAGUAGGGAAAGAAGACCCUGUUGAGUUUGACUUUUGUCCGACUUUAUAAAAUGACUUGAGAGGUGUGAAAUACCAUUACUUUUAAUGUUAUUUUACUUAUUCCGUUAGUCAGAGGCAGGACAUUGCCCCUCCUUUUAGACCCAAGGCUCACAUCGAUGGACCAAUCUAGGCAGAGGACAUUAUCAGGUGGGGAGUUUGGAUGGGGCAACACAUUUGUUAAAAGAUAGCAUAGGUGUCCUAAAAUAAGCUCAACAAGAACAGAAAAUCUCGUAUGGAAAAAAAGGGUCGCAACUCAUUUGAUUCUGAUGUAUAGUACGAAUACAGACCAUGAAAAUGUAGCUAUGGAUCCUUUAGACUUUCGGAAUUUGAAAAUAGAGAUGUUAGAAAAGUUACCACAAGUAUAAUUAGCUUGUGGCAACCAAACAUUCAUAGCGACAUUGCUUUUUAAUCCUUUGAUGUCGGCUUUUCCUAUCAUUAUGAAGUAGAAUUCACUAAUAUCGUGUUUGGUUUGAAGGAAAAAAUAGGGAAAGAAAGGGAAACACAUGGAAACCUUUACAAACCUUGUACUGGUUUCCUUACAUUUUCCUACCUUUUCCUUCAAACCAAACAUAGCCUAAGUGUUAGAUUGUUCGCCCAUUAAUAAGGAACGUGAACUGGGUUUACACCAUUGUGAAAUAGGUUAGUUUUACCCUACUAAUGGCAAUGUUGUGAUAGUAAUUCAACAUAGUAUGAGAGGAAACAUUGAUUCACACAAUUGGCCAUUGCACUUGGUUGAAAAGCUAGUGGUGCGAAGCUACCGUGUGCCAGAUUAUGAUUAAACACCUCUAAGUCAAAAUCUUAGCUAAACAUGUGACGUGUGCGCUUGUUGCUCGAUUGCCAACCCAUAAUAGGGCCUUUAGGCCCCUAAAGGCACAUGCCAUUGGUGAAACCCUUCUGACAAACAAGCCAUGUAGACUGUUUUGAAAUGCAAUUCCUAUUGAGCAGCGGGUAGAAUCUUUUAUACAUUAUUUAAAUAUGUAGUGAUGUAUUGUAAGUGGUAGAGUGGCCUUAUUGCCACGAUCCACUAAGAUUCAACCCUCUAUUGCACCGUUUC
RNAcentral lists this non-coding RNA (1591 nucleotides) under Nelumbo nucifera (sacred lotus). RNAcentral describes it as "Eukaryotic large subunit ribosomal RNA". It matches the Rfam family "Eukaryotic large subunit ribosomal RNA", at positions 1889 to 3399 of the family's 3401-position model. The record is from Rfam by way of RNAcentral. Lineage: Eukaryota; Viridiplantae; Streptophyta; Magnoliopsida; Proteales; Nelumbonaceae.